RNAcentral lists this ribosomal RNA (507 nucleotides) under uncultured soil bacterium. RNAcentral's name for it is "bacterial SSU rRNA". It matches the Rfam family "Bacterial small subunit ribosomal RNA", at positions 26 to 494 of the family's 1533-position model. The record is from RNAcentral.
AGAGUGAACGCUGGCGGCAGGCCUAACACAUGCAAGUCGAACGGCAGCACAGCAGUAGCAAUACUGUGGGUGGCGAGUGGCGGACGGGUGAGGAAUACAUCGGAAUCUACCUUGUCGUGGGGGAUAACGUAGGGAAACUUACGCUAAUACCGCAUACGAACUAUGGUUGAAAGCGGCGGACCGCAAGGCGUCGCGCGAUUGGAUGAGCCGAUGUCCGAUUAGCUAGUUGGACGGGUAAAGGCCCACAAGGCGAACGAUCGGUAGCUGGUCUGAGAGGAUGAUCAGCCACACUGGAACUGGAGACACGGUCCAGACUCCUACGGGAGGCAGCAGGUGGGGAAUAUUGGACAAGUGGGCGCAAGCCUGAUCCAGACCAUGCCGCGUGUGUGAAAGGAACGGACCUCGGGUUAGUUAAGACGUACUUUAGGUUAGGGUAAGAAAAGAACGACGUUACAACGUACCCGGGUUUACGUGAACGGUACCGAAAGAAACGUAAGACACCGGACC